GCGGUUGUUGAAAAGCUAACCGGGUCGAAUGCUUAUUAACUUACUCGUGAAUUUCUUUAGCUAAAAAAAACUCAUGGGCUUAUAGUUUAAGUACAAAUAGUUUAACACUUGAGGCUUGACAAUGGUUUCCACGAGCUGUUGUUUCCUAAUGUUGCGGUUUGUUGACAUUUUUACGCUUUCACCGUUGGAUAGCAUACAGAUGCUACCGUUGAGCUAGCACCAUUAGCCUCCUAAUAGAUGACCAUGAUUUUCAUCAAGACAAUCCGUAUUAGUUAAUAGCUCGUUGUGCAUCGUUAGCUCAUCCUUCCAAAGUGUAUCCGUUCAUCAACUGCCUGAAAUAUUCAUCUCCAAGAGACCCAGCUGUCGGAUGUAAUGGAGACCGUAACAAAGACCGCCAUGUACGAGGUCACGAGGUUGGUUGAGGAGGGCUUCUUGGAGGAGAUGCAGCGCAGGAACCAGGAGCUGGAGUCCCUGAGGAUGCAGCUGCGACGGGCUGAGACGAAACUAAGUGACCAAGUGGGGAAAGACGCAAGAACAACCGGGAGGUGCGUUGGGUGUUCAAAGGGUGAUGUGCCACUGCGCGGUGGUGAUCCUGCAGAAGGAAGCCCCACAGAACAGCCAGCUGAUAUCUUCAGGGCCUGCGUGAUCAAAGAAGAAGGUGACUCUAUGGAAAGGUGGUCAAUGUGCUGCGCACAGGAAGUCAUACCAGAGUCGGA
Gasterosteus aculeatus aculeatus (three-spined stickleback) is the source of this 716-nucleotide long non-coding RNA. The record is from Ensembl. Lineage: Eukaryota; Metazoa; Chordata; Actinopteri; Perciformes; Gasterosteidae.